CGAGCUGCCUGAUGGCCAGGUCAUCACCAACGGCAAUGAGCGGUUCCACUGUCCCGAGGCACUCUUCCAGCCUUCCUUCCUGGGCAUGGAAUCCUGUGGCAUCCACGAAACUACCUUCAACUCCAUCAUGAAGUGUGAUGUGGACAUCUGCAAACACCUGUACAUCAACACAGUGCUGUCUGGCGGCACCACCAUGUACCCUGGCCAUCGCGGACAGGAUGCAGAAGGAGAUCACUUAGCCCUGGUGCCCAGCACGAUGAAGAUCAAGAUCAUUGCUCCUCCUGAGUGCAAGUACUCCGUGUGGAUCGGCACCUCUAUCCUGGCCUCUCUGUCCACCUUCCAGCAGAUAUGGAUCAGCAAGCAGGAGUAUGAUGAGUCUGGCCCCUCCAUCGCCCACUGCAAAUGCUCCUGUGCAGACUGUGACUUAGUUACAUUACACCCUUUCUUGACAAAACCUAACUUGCACAGAAAACAAUAUGAAAUUGGCAUGGCUUUAUUUGUUUUUUUGUUUGUUUCUUUCUUUUUUUUUUGGCUUGACUCAGGAUUUAAAAACUGGAACGGUGAAGGUGACAGCGGUCGGUUGGAGUGAGCAUCCCCCAGAGUUCUACAAUGUGGUCAAGGACUUUGAUUGUACGUUGUUCUUUUUUUUUUUUUAAAUAGUCAUUCCAAAUAUUGUGAGAUGAAUUGUUACAGGAAGUUCCUUGCCCUCCUAAAAGCCACCCCACUUCUCUCUAAGGAGAAUGGCCCAGUCCUCUCCUACGUCCACACAGGGGAAGUGAUAGAAUUGCUCUGAUGUAAAUUAUGUAAUGCAAAAUUUUUUAAAUCUUUGCCUUAACGCUUUUUUAUUUUGUUUUAUUUUGAAUGAUCAGCCUUUGUGGCCCCCCUUUUUUGUCCCCCAACUUGAGAUGUAUGAAGGCUUUUGGUCUCCCUGGGAGUAGGUGGAGGCAGCCGGGGCUUACCUGUACACUGACUUGAGACCAGUUGAAUAAAAGUGCACACCUUAAAAAAAACAAAAAACAAAAAACAAAAAAA
Molecule: RNA transcript, 1032 nt
Organism: Mandrillus leucophaeus (drill)
Lineage: Eukaryota; Metazoa; Chordata; Mammalia; Primates; Cercopithecidae
Gene name: actin, alpha skeletal muscle-like
Exons: 1
Source: RefSeq, a predicted model, not a curated record